This 187-nucleotide non-coding RNA is filed under the name Clostridiales bacterium. Its description in RNAcentral is "6S RNA". It matches the Rfam family "6S / SsrS RNA". Rfam says of the family: E. coli 6S RNA was the first non coding RNA to be sequenced, but its function was unknown until recently. It consists of 184 nucleotides that fold into an extended hairpin structure with a large single-stranded internal bulge. The 6S RNA specifically associates with RNA polymerase holoenzyme containing the sigma70 specificity factor. The record is from RNAcentral. Lineage: Bacteria; Bacillati; Bacillota; Clostridia; Eubacteriales.
GAUUUCCUUGGGUGUUUGUUACGCUCCUAUUUUAAACCCACAUUUUUACAUUGGGAGCCCGGAGUCCAGCUACUAAGUACGGCAGGCGCACCACAUUGUGCAGUGCGAAGGCGGAACGGUACGGCAGGGUACCCACCUGCCCGAGCGGCGGGUUGUAAACGGGGGCGGACGGCACCUAGGGGUUUUA